This 5762-nucleotide long non-coding RNA is filed under the name Triticum aestivum (bread wheat). RNAcentral's name for it is "long non-coding RNA (TAES_LNC008314)". Lineage: Eukaryota; Viridiplantae; Streptophyta; Magnoliopsida; Poales; Poaceae. The record is from RNAcentral.
GCUUUCCUUCCAAAAAUAACUUCUCCAGAAGGUUUCAUUCCGUUUUGACUCCGUUUGAUAUUCCUUUUCUUCGAAAUACUGAAACAAGGGAAAAAACAGGAACUGGCACUCGGCUCUGGGUCAAUAGGUUAUUCCCAAAAAUAAUAUAAAAGUGUUUAAUAAAGCCCAUAAACAUCCAAAACAGAUAAUAUAAUAGCAUGGAACAAUAAAAAAUUAUAGAUACGUUGGAGACGUAGCAGCAUCCCCAAGCUUAAUUCCUGCUCGUCCUCGAGUAGGUAAAUGAUAAAACGGAAUUUUUGAUGUGGAAUGCUACCUGACAUAUUUCUCAAUGUAAUUUUCUUUAUUGUGGCAAGAAUAUUCAGAUCCAUAAGAUUCAAGACAAAAGUUUAAUAUUGACAUGAAAACAAUAAUACUUCAAGCAUACUAACAAAGCAAUCAUGUCUUCUCAAAAUAACAUGGCCAAAGAAAGCUAUCCCUACAAAAUCAUAUAGUCUGGCUAUGCUCUAUCUUCAUCACACAAAAUAUUUAAAUCAUGCAGAAACCGGAUGACAAGCCAAGCAAUUGUUUCAUACUUUUGAUGUUCUCAAACUUUUUCAAUCUUCACGCAAUACAUGAGCGUGAGCCUUGGACAUAGCACUAUAGGUGGAAUAGAAUGGUGGUUGUGGAGAAGACAAAAAGGAGAAGAUAGUCUCACAUCAACUACGCGUAUCAACGGGCUAUGGAGAUGCCCAUCAAUAGAUAUCAAUGUGAGUGAGUAGGGAUUGCCAUGCAACGGAUGCACUAGAGUUAUAAGUGUAUGAAAGCUCAACAAAAGAAACUAAGUGGGUGUGCAUCCAACUCGCUUGCUCACGAAGACCUAGGGCAUUUUGAGGAAGCCCAUCAUUGGAAUAUACAAGCCAAGUUCUAUAAUGAAAGAUUCCCACUAGUAUAUGAAAGAGAAAACAUAGGAGACUCUCUAUCAUGAAGAUCAUGGUGCUACUUUGAAGCACAAGUGUGGUAAAAGGAUAGUAGCAUUGCCCCUUCUCUCUAUUCUCUCAUUUUUUUUAUUUGGGCCUUUUCACUUUUUUUAUGGCCUCUUUUUUUAUUUUUUUUCGUCCAGAGUCUCAUCCCGACUUGUGGGAGAAUCAUAGUCUCCAUCAUCCUUUCCUCACUGGGACAAUGCUCUAAAAAUGAUGAUCAUCACACUUUUAUUUACUUACAACUCAAGAAUUACAACUCAAUACUUAGAACAAGAUAUGACUCUAUAUGAAUGCCUCCGGCGGUGUACCGGGAUGUGCAAUGACUCAUGAGUGACAUGUAUGAAAGAAUUAUGAAUGGUGGCUUUGCCACAAAUACGAUGUCAACUACAUGAUCAUGCAAAGCAAUAUGACAAUGAUGGAGCGUGUCAUAAUAAACAGAGCAGUGGAAAGUUGAACGGCAAUAUAUCUCGGAAUGGCUAUGGAAAGGCCAUAAUAGGUAGGUAUGGUGGAUGUUUUGAGGAAGGUAUAUGGUGGGUGUAUGAUACUGGCGAAAGGUGCGCGGUAUUAGAGAGGCUAGCAAUGGUGGAAGGGUGAGAGUGCGUAUAAUCCAUGGACUCAACAUUAGUCAUAAAGAACUCAUAUACUUAUUGCAAAAAUCUAUUAGUUAUCGAAACGAAGUACUACGCACAUGCUCCUAGGGGGAUAGAUUGGUAGGAAAAGACCAUCGCUCGUCCCCGACUGACAGUCAUAAGGAGGACAAUCAAUAAAUAAAUCAUGUUCCGACUUCAUCACAUAACGGUUCACCAUACGCGCAUGCUACGGGAAUCACAAACUUUAACACAAUAUCUAUCAAAUUCACAACUACUCACUAGCAUGACUCUAAUAUCACCAUCUUCAUAUCUCAAAACAAUCAUAAGGAAUCAAACUUCUCAUAGUAUUCAAUGCACUUUAUAUGAAAGUUUUUAUUAUAUCCCUCUUGGAUGCCCAUCAUAUUAGGACUAAAUUCAUAACCAAAGCAAAUUACCAUGCUGUUCUAAAGACUCUCAAAAUAAUAUAAGUGAAGCAUGUGAGUUCAUCUAUUUCUUCAAAAUAAACCACCGCCGUGCUCUAAAAGGAUGUAUGUGAAGCUCUAGAGCAAAUGACAAACUACUCCGAAAGAUAUAAGUGAAGAUCAAUGAGUAGUUAAAUAAUUAUGUAGGUAUGAGAAGACUCUCUCUUAUUUAAGAAUUUCAGAUCUUGGUAUUUUAUUCAAACAGCAAUCAAAACAAAGGAAAAUAAAAAGACGCUCCAAGCAAAACACAUAUCAUGUGGUGAAUAAAAAUAUAGUUCCAAGUAAAGUUACCGAUGAACGAAGACGAAAGAGGGGAUAUCUUCCGGGGCAUCCCCAAGCUUAGGCUCUUGGUUAUCCUUGAAUAUUACCUUGGGGUGCCUUGGGAAUCCCCAAGCUCAGGCUGUUGCCACUCCUUAUUCCAUAGUCCAUUGAAUCUCUACCCAAAACUUGAAAACUUCACAACACAAAACUUAACAGAAAAUCUCCUGAGCUCCGUUAGCGAAAGAAAACAAAACACCACUUGAUGGUACUGUAAUGAACUCAUUCUUUAUUUUUAUUGGUGUUAAACCUACUGUAUUCCAACUUCUCUAUGGUUUAUAAACUAUUUUACUAGCCAUAGAUUCAUCAAAAUAAGCAAACAACACACGAAAAACAGAAUCUGUCGAAAACAGAACUGUCUGUAGUAAUCUGUAACUAACGCAAACUUCUGGAACUUCAAAAACAUCUACCAAAAUAGGAAGACCUAGAAAAGUUGUGUAUUGAUCUUCUGCAAUUGAAAUCAUUAUUUUAUCACGUUCUGGUGAUUUUAAACAAUUGUUUUCGUGAACAGAAAGUUUCUGGAAUUUUCAGCAAGAUCAAAUAACUAUCAUCCAAGAAGUUCCUAUAGGUCUUACUUGGCACAAACACUAAUUAAAACAUAAAACCACAUAUUAACAGAAGCUAGAUGAGUUAUUUAUUCCUAAACAGAACCAAAAAUCAAGAAACUAAAAUAAAAUUGGGUGGCCUCCCAACAAGCGCUAACGUUUAACGCCCCUAGCUAGGCAUGAUGAUUUCAAUCAUGCUCACAAAAAGAUAACAAUUGAAACAUAAAGAGAGCAUCAUGAAGAAUAUGACUAGCACAUUUAAGUCUAACCCACUUCCUAUGCAUAGGGAUUUUGUGAGCAAACAACUUAUGGGAACAAGAAUCAACUUGCAUAGGAAGGUAUAACAAGCAUAACUUCAAGAUUUUAAGCACAUAGAGAGGAAACUUGUUAUUAUUGCAAUUCAUAGAAGCAUAUGAUCCUCUCUCAUAAUAAUUUUCAGUAGCAUUAUGAAUGAAUUCAACCAUAUAACCAUCACAUAAAGCAUUCUUUUCAUGAUCUACAUGCAUAUAAUUUUUAUUACUCUCCACAUAAGAAAAUUUCUUCCCAUUCGGAACAGUGGGAGUAAACUCAACAAAACAACUAUCAUGUGAUUGAAAAUUAAGAUCAAGAUGACAAAUUUCAUGGUUAUCAUUAUUCUUUAUAGCAUACGUGUCAUCACAAUAAUCAUCAUAGAUAGGAGGCAUGCUUUCAUCAUAGUAAAUUUGCUCAUCAAAGCUUGGGGGACAAAAAAUAUCAUCUUCAUCAAACAUAGCUUCUCCAAGCUUGUGGCUUUGCAUAUCAUUAGCAUCAUGGAUAUUCAAGGAAUUCAUAAUAACAACAUUGCAAUCAUGCUCAUCAUAUAAAUAUUUAGUGCCAAACAUUCUAAUGCAUUCUUCUUCUAGAACUUGGGCACAAUUUUCCUUUCAAUCAUUUCCACGAAAGAUAUUAAAAAGAUGAAGCGUAUGAGACAAACUCAAUUCCUUUCAAUCAUCUUCUUCUUGUAGUUUUAUUUUUAUAAACUAAACUAGUGCUAAAACAAGAAACAAAAAGAUUCAAUUGCAAGAACUAAAGAUAUACCUUCAAACACUCACCUCCCCGGCAACGGCGCCAGAAACUUCUUAGUUGACGGGGUGUGAGUGUCGUUUACCUAGCCUCCCCCGCAACGGCGCCAGAAAAGAGCUUGAUGUCUACUACGCAACCUUCUUCUUGUAGACAUUGUUGGGCCUCCAAGUGCAGAGGUUUGUAGGACAGUAGCAAAUUUCCCUCAAGUGGAUGACCUAAGGUUUAUCAAUCCGUGGGAGGCAUAGGAUGAAGAUGGUCUCUCUCAAGCAAACCUGCAACCAAAUAACAAAGAGUCUCUUGUGUCCCCAACACACCCAAUACAAUGGUAAAUUGUAUAGGUGCACUAGUUCGGCGAAGAGAUGGUGAUACAAGUGCAAUAUGGAUGGUAGAUAUAGGUUUUUAUAAUCUGAAAAUAUAAAAACAGCAAGGUAGCAAGCGAUAAAAGUGAGCGUAAACGGUAUUGCAAUGCUAGGAAACAAGGCCUAGGGUUCAUACUUUCACUAGUGCAAGUUCACUCAACAAUAAUAACAUAAUUGGAUCAUAUAACUAUCCCUCAACAUGCAACAAUGAGUCACUCCAAAGUCACUAAUAGCGGAGAACAAAUGAAGAGAUUAUGGUAGGGUACGGAACCACCUCAAAGUUAUUCUUUCGGAUCGAUCUAUUCAAGAGUUCGUACUAGAAUAACACCUUAAGAAACAUAUAAACCAAAACCCUAAUGUCACCUAGAUACUCCAAUGUCACCUCAAGUAUCCGUGGGUAUGAUUAUACGAUAUGCAUCACACAAUCUCAGAUUCAUCUAUUCAAACCAACACAAAGUACUUAAAAGAGUGCCCCAAAGUUUCUACCGGAGAGUCAAGACGAAAACGUGUGCCAACCCCUAUGCAUAGGUUCAUGGGCGGAACCCGCAAGUUGAUCACCAAAACAUACAUCAAGUGAAUCAAUAGAAUACCCCAUUGUCACCACAGAUACGCACGGCAAGACAUACAUCAAGUGUUCUCAAAUCAUUAAAGACUCAAUCCGAUAAGAUAACUUCGAAGGGAAAACUCAAUCCAUUACAAGAGUGUAGAGGGGGAGAAGAAACAUAAGAUCCAACUAUAAUAGCAAUGCUCGCGAUACAUCAAGAUCGAGCCAAAUCAAGAACACGAGAGAGAGAGAGAGAGAUCAAACACAUAGCUACUGAUACAUACCCUCAGCCCCGAGGGUGAACUACUCCCUCCUUGUCAUGGAGAGCGCCGUGAUGAUGAAGAUGGCCACCGGUGAGGGAUCCCCCCUCCGGCAGGGUGCCGGACCAAGGUCCCGAUUGGUUUUUGGUGGCUACAGAGGCUUCCUGCGGCGGAACACCCGAUCUCUUCUGUUCCCCGAUCGUUUUAGGGUAUAUGGAUAUAUAUAGGCGGAAGAAAUACGUUAGGGGAGCCACGGGGGGCCCACAAGGGUGGAGGGCGCGCCCCCCUGCCUCGUUCCUCCCUCGUUUCUUUCUUGACGUGGAUUCCAAGUCUCACGGGUUGCUUUCCUUCCAAAAAUAACUUCUCCAGAAGGUUUCAUUCCGUUUUGACUCCGUUUGAUAUUCCUUUUCUUCGAAAUACUGAAACAAGGGAAAAAAACAGGAACUCGCACUGGGCUCUGGGUCAAUAGGUUAGUCCCAAAAAUAAUAUAAAAGUGUUUAAUAAAGCUCAUAAACAUCCAAAACAGAUAAUAUAAUAGCAUGGAACAAUCAAAAAUUAUAGAUACGUUGGAGAUGUAUCAUUCGUUAGCCACCACCAUAGCAAGGUCGUCAUCCGCCACCACCAUAGCAGGGUCGUCGUCAGCCAUAAUAGGCUGCUCCUCGUCAUCCCCGCUCUGCUCCCAUUG